Molecule: long non-coding RNA, 183 nt
Organism: Etheostoma cragini (Arkansas darter)
Lineage: Eukaryota; Metazoa; Chordata; Actinopteri; Perciformes; Percidae
Exons: 3
Source: RefSeq, a predicted model, not a curated record
GCCCCUUGUUCUUAUCCUUGCCACCAAUGUCAUUGUUGGGGUCCAAGGCGUCAGCCAGGUCGAACUCAUCAGCAGCUGUAGAGUCAGAAGUUCCGCUGCUGGCUCACGAGGAACGCUGGCUAUAAACAAAGAGGAAGCUGCAGUCUCUCACCUGGCUUGGGUUUGGGCUUGACGGGGGCCUUG